RNAcentral lists this ribosomal RNA (482 nucleotides) under uncultured bacterium. RNAcentral's name for it is "partial 16S ribosomal RNA". It matches the Rfam family "Bacterial small subunit ribosomal RNA", at positions 28 to 523 of the family's 1533-position model. The record is from RNAcentral.
GACGAACGCUGGAGGCGUGCUUAACACAUGCAAGUCGAACGAUGAAAUGGAGCUUGCUCCAUGGAUUAGUGGCGAACGGGUGAGUAACACGUGAAUAACCUGCCCUUAAUUUUGGAAUAACCCAGGGAAACCUGGGCCAAUACCGGAUAAGUAAACCUGUGGCAUCACAUGGUUUUGGAAAGUUUUUCGAUUAAGGAUGGAUUCGCGGCCUAUCAGCUUGUUGGUGAGGUAAUGGCUCACCAAGGCGACGACGGGUAGCCGGCCUGAGAGGGUGAACGGCCACACUGGGACUGAGACACGGCCCAGACUCCUACGGGAGGCAGCAGUGGGGAAUAUUGCGCAAUGGACGAAAGUCUGACGCAGCGACGCCUCGUGAGGGACGAAGGUCUUCGGAUUGUAAACCUCUUUCAGCAGGGACGAAGCGAAAGCGACGGUACCUGCAGAAGAAGCACCGGCUAACUAUGUGCCAGCAGCCGCCGUAA